Molecule: long non-coding RNA, 911 nt
Filed under: Gossypium raimondii (Peruvian cotton)
Lineage: Eukaryota; Viridiplantae; Streptophyta; Magnoliopsida; Malvales; Malvaceae
Description: long non-coding RNA (GRAI_LNC002122)
Source: RNAcentral
GUUAUGCAAGAUGGAAAGCAGCUUAAAAGGUCUGAAUAAUUAUAAAAUUUAUAAAAUUUACAAUUAUAUUUUAUUAUCAAGUUUUUGUUUUAAAGUUACAUAUAAUUAUAAAACUAGAGUAUGAGGAGUAUAAGCUUAUCCAUUUGAUAGCCUUUGUGAAGGAAGGAGAAGUGUCUGAAAUGUGGGAGGACUAUCCUUAUCUCUUAAAUGAGUUGUGAAGUUGUCGAGAGAGUUAUUUAUAAAAGGUUUGCCAAUGAGAUGGCAAGCAGACUGCUAGCUAGAAAUUCAUGCAUCUUUGAAUCACCAAUUCAAUUAAUAAGCUUAACUAAAGGAAAUAAGGACUUUAAAUCCACCAAUUCAAGCAACCUAUAUGUACCCUUUUACAGUCUGCAUUGUUCCUUGUUUCAAUUCAUUACAUCAUUCCUUCAACUCUGCUAUAUAUUAUUACCGUCUCCAGAUAACCAAACCUUUUACUGCUAACUUGUAAAAAAAUUAUGAAAAUACAAUAGAGAUCAUUGAGACAUUGUUGAAGUUGGCUUGCAUGUAGACCAAGAAGCAGACCAAGCUGUCCGAGCCAUGCAAGUUGCAGCUGAAGCUUAUGCUGCUGUUUUGUUACUUUCAAAUAGAUAUUUUAUUAUUUGGUUAGAUAUGAACUAAGUUGUUGAUAUGCUUGAUGUAAUUAGGUGCUGAUAGAUUGAUAAAUCAGCUUUACCAAGUGUACAAGCAAUGUUUAUCAAAAAGUUACUAAGCCACUUAGUGGAGUUAGGUAUGUGUUUAGGUAACAUUUUCUUAUUUUUGACCAGUUGAUUGCUUGGUAUAUGUAAUGGCAUUGUGCCUUCAUUCAAAUGUAAUGAAACCUUUCAGAAAAUUCUUCUUCAUUUGGUCUUUACUUAAGCAUUUUUAUUCAUAAA